Molecule: ribosomal RNA, 253 nt
Filed under: uncultured bacterium
Lineage: Bacteria
Description: partial 16S ribosomal RNA
Rfam family: Bacterial small subunit ribosomal RNA
Source: RNAcentral
UACGGGGGGGGCAAGCGUUGUUCGGAAUUACUGGGCGUAAAGGGCUCGUAGGUGGCCAACUAAGUCGGACGUGAAAUCCCUCAGCUUAACUGGGGAACUGCGUCCGAUACUGGAUGGCUUGAGUUUGGGAGAGGGAUGCGGAAUUCCAGGUGUAGCGGUGAAAUGCGUAGAUAUCUGCAGGAACACCCGUGGCGAAAGCGGCGCGCUGGACCACUACUGACGCUGAGGAACGAAAGCUAGGGGAGCAAACAGG